RNAcentral lists this small RNA (518 nucleotides) under Pan troglodytes (chimpanzee). RNAcentral describes it as "retained intron". The record is from RNAcentral. Lineage: Eukaryota; Metazoa; Chordata; Mammalia; Primates; Hominidae.
GACAUCGGCAGCGGGAGCGGCGGCCAGACUCUCUUGGAAGUUUAGGAUAUUUCACAGUUCUGAAUGUUAGCCACUGAAAAUGCCAGUAGAUGAUGAAGCCUCUGAAGAUGACACGGAUUCACUUUCCUCAAACAGCCCAAGAACCUUUAUUUUCCAAUAAGAGAAUAUAACAAUUUCUGUACACUAUGGAAGAGUUUGACUUGGUGAAAACCUUACACAAAACUUCAUCUUCUGUAGGAUCUGAUGAAAAUUCUCUUCAUUCUCUUGGACUGAACUUAAAUACUGAUAGGUAAGAAUGGGAUUUAAAAAAAUGUACCAAAUCAGAAUAACCUUAUUUGCAUACGUUUAUCAACUUAUCCAAAUAGUGUCAUAGUUACUGAUUUGAAUUAUUAUUAUUAUUAUUUUUUAACCUAUCAUCAAGAAUGUUCAGGGAGGCUGGGCGCGGUGGCUCAUGCCUGUAAUCCCAGCACCUUGGUAGGCUGAGGCGGGUGGAUCACCUGAGGCCAGGAGUUGGAGAC